Non-coding RNA from Chrysemys picta bellii (western painted turtle), 1926 nucleotides. The record is from RefSeq and is a predicted model, not a curated record. Lineage: Eukaryota; Metazoa; Chordata; Testudines; Emydidae.
CUGACAUUCUCACAGGAGGGAGCAGAAAGAACCCAGCUGCUCAGGGUGACUCUUCUCUCUCCUCUGCUAUGUGCCUCCCUCCUUCCCCCAAGCAACAACCAGCCUGGAAAAGGGGAGAGGGGACCCCACUGCAGUCCCACCCCAGCCUGGGAAAGAGGGAUGAAGAACUUCAGAAGCUGAUGGAGGAGCAGAGCAAAGAGGCUGAAAGGGGCAAUCAGAAAUGGGGCAAGAGAGAAAGGACAUUAAAGAACAUAAGGGAACACCGUGGGGAUUAUGCUGAAAUUCAGGAGGAGAACAGAGUGGAGAAGAAUGUGUGACAGAGCAGGCCAGUGGAGUAAGAAAAAAACAGAGAGAAAUGCAAAGAAACGGAAGAAAAAAAAUAGCAAGAUAUUUCCAGAGCUACAAAUCAUGAACUGAAGAAGAGGUCUGUGCAGCUCAAAGGCUUGUGCCUUCUACCAACAAAAGUUGGUCCAAUAAAAGAUAUUACCACCCCUAUCCUGUCUCUCUCAUGUCUAGGUAGUCACACCUAUGACCAUGUGACCAGUCUGACUGUGAGUUUGCUUCUCCAAAUCUAAUUUUUAUACAUGAAACUCAGUACAUUAGUCUGAGCAUCUGCCUAUUUGCUGACUCUCUGGGGAGACCUGUGUGAAGGAGGACCUCAAUGCAGCGAUGGAAAGAGCCAUUGCUUGUACACAGGUCUGGAAAAAACAUCUAGUUUGUGACAAGGACAAGGAGGAGAAGUCAUCUGAGGUUUCCAGCAACACAAUGAUAGGUGACUAAAUGAACAGCAGACUCCAACACCUCAAGGCAUCCAUGAAUAUGAAGAUUACAGUACAAGAAGAAGAAUGGAUCAACAUUACGCUAGGUUUUGGGACUACACUGGGAGAUGCUGAUUGGUUUCUGCCAACUCAUUGUGGCAAGCGUGGCUCGUCAACCUGCGUGGAUAUUAGUAAGGCUUGUUUGGCAGGUAAAUUCUCUCUCUGUACUGAGCAUGCUCCAGCUCCUGGCUGAAUGGGACUUUUUCUGAAAUUGCUCCUCCCACCACCAGGCACAGGAACUGAGAACAAGGAGACUGUCUCUCCUGUGCUGUCAAUGCUUACCGCUAGGAGCCAGAAGAUGGAGGAAGCUUUUUGACUGGUAUAUAGAAAGAAGUACCUAGAAGCCCUAGCCAGAGAUCAGGGCCUAUUGUACUAGGUACUGUAUACACAUAAUAAAGAUACUCUAUGCACCAAAUAAUUUACGCUCUAGAAAUAAGACAAGAACAAGAGGUGGAAGAGCUGAGAGACGGAGUGGGGGGAAAAGACAAAAUGACAGUGAAGUGACUAUGCUUAGAUGACUACUAUUUUCAAUUGCUGAAGGGAUCUGUAUGACAGUGGCAGAUGAACCUCCUGAGUUGUGUGUCCAGUUCAGUUCUGCCCCAGACAGAUUGGCAUCAGCGUGAGCCUGUUCAAUGGCCCAGGUGGUCAUCAUCUGUACAAUGGACCCACUGAAAUGAGACCAGUGCUACACUGUAUGAAUCAGCAGGACUUGUAGGGACAUGGUUAUGGACAGGGGACUCCAAGUUUUUCCAUGUCGUGUGCUGUGAAGCUUGUGUUUGGGAAACAGGAAGUACAAGCCACAUGGCAAAAGGAAUAUAAAGGGUAGCUGCAUCAUCUCCAUUUGGUCUUCAUUCCUGCUGCCUACCUCUGGAAUAACUUCUACAAAUGAAGCUCUGAACAAAGGACUGAAUGACCCAUCCAAGCUGUGGAUGUGCUCCAGAGGGACUUUCAAGCCAGCAAACUCACCAAUACUGCUAAGACCCUGCUAUGUGGACUUUGAAGUCCCUGUAUGUAUCUAUCUGAUUGCUUUUACCAUUUAACAAUUCUCUUCUUGUUCUUUCCUUUUUCUUUGUAAUAAACAUUUAGUUUUAGACACUAAAGAAUUGGC